GGCAGGCCUGAGGGGGUGAGCAGGGGUCGCUCUGGCAGGGGGGGCAGGCCAGGGCACCCCUUUGCCACUCAGCGCCCUCCCGUGCAGCAUGACCGGGGCAGGGACACAGUGAGGAUGUGAGUAGUCCUUUCCGGGGCUCUAGUGAGCCCCUUGCUCCUGGCAUGUUUGCAGCCCCUAUCUCGUGCUGAAGGCAGCUGGGGACCAGUGCCAUGCUGGCGGGCGUGCGGACACAAGCAAGAGCGCUGCAGGGAGAGCUCCUGUUCGACCAGCUGCAAAAACACCUGCAGGCUGCAAGCUGGUUCAGGUCUGAAGAAGGGUUCAUGUGCCCACGAGCUCGGCUGGUUUCUCUGGCUGCUUUAGCCCACCUGGAAGUUUCUUCACAGCCUUUUCUUUACCCACUGCUGUGGCUGCAGAGGCAGAUGGGAGCUGGGACUGUCUAGGGGAAGCCAGAGGAGGAACUAUUUCUGCCCUGCACUUGCAAUCCCUCCCAACCCUGUGCUGCCUCCACAUCUUGGGAACUUGCACUUGGCUCUUCCAAAAUCACUGAUGGAUUUACUCGCCUGCAUUCAUUCCCAAGACAUAAGGUUUACUGGUCGUGCUUCCCACCUUCCCGCUUGCCUCUGACCGGGUGCUCCCAGCCCGCCUCCGCGUAUGCUGAUCUCUGCGGCUUCAUCCCCGGCAGCAUGCUCUGCCGUUGCUGAACCUCACCCUACGCGCUGGGAUUCACCCUCUUCUUGUUCAUCUAAUCAUGUGCCAGGCAACUGAUGUGACCCCAGCAAACAGCACGAUUUGGGGAGAAGCAUACAAAAGCGGUGGCUGCACGCUGUUGCAAAAUCUUGGAAGAACUUGGCCCAGGAAUGAAUGAGGGAGAUAAAGGACACGGUGUUUGUAGUUUCACCUGAGAGCCUUGGGAGAUAAGGACUGCUAGGACAAACGGACUUAAUGCCUCUUGACGUAAUUCAAGGGAGACCUACAAAUCCAUGUGAAAACACUAAGCAAGGAAAAUGGAGUGGGGCUGGACAGCUUAGUGCAGGGGUGAGUUACGAGGUUGUGAAAUGGCGUCCUAUCAGUCUUGUGCACACGUGCCUUUCCCAGGUGAACUAGUGAGUAUUUAUUUUUAGAGACAGGAAGUAUGUGGAAAAGCAGCAGAAAAUACGCUUGCUGUGUUACCUAGAGACAGUUGAAGCCUGUCCCAAAAUAAAGAAGCUCUCUUUCAAGUACCUGGGGGCAAAGGGAUUCCCAAAUACCUUUUGUGUGCUAGAACAAUGCUACACUGGCUUUAAAAAAAGGACAUUUAACAACUCUAGCCUUGAGAGCUGGUGUGCUUGACAGCAUGACUCAAAUGGUCAUGAUAAGACCAUCAAGCAGGAUGUGGAUGGUCCAUCAAAGGUCUAGUGAAGUGCAUGCAGGACACUUAAGGUGUUGUGCAAUGAGGGUGGCAAUGUCUGUCCAUAGCAUCUCAGGAGGUGCGGCGUGAACGUGCAGCUUUGAGGCCUGGCAGCGCAUUUAGCCUAUAGGCAAAGUACACAAUCAGCAAAAAAAGCACACCAAAUGUGUGAUGAAGGUCCUAACCCCGAGUGAAGUGCAUGGCGCAAUGCAUGAGGAACCAGUAAAAACUAUAUUUGAGGAAUAUUUGAGGGUUUGAAGACAGGCUACUGGCAACCGGACCCAUUCUGGUCUGUUUUCACUAGUGGACAGCGCUGUGAUUGCUACCUGCUAUGUCACCUGAACAAAGAGACGCAGGACAUAUCUGGUUGUGAAUUGUAGCUGCCAUUGGAGGAGAAUCAAUAAGUCAGAGUCUUGGCUGCUAGUGAAGGCGGAUGUGGAGAAGGCAAUGCUAUUAACGGCAGCAAGCAAAAGGAAUAGGUCAGAGCAGGUCAGCAUCUCCCGAGUGCCGAUGCAACCAAGGAAUGGGGAGCCAGCAGCCAACACCACUUCUAGUAUCACUUAAAUACUCCUUUAGAAUCAUCUAGUAACAAAAUGUCUGUAAAUAAUAAAAAAAAAAAAAGUCAUAGUGGUGGUAUCCAGCAGUCUGAACCUGUCAGUCGCAACCUGAUUAUUUUAGCAGCAUUUUCUUCAGCCUGCUGGAAGGCAGAUAAUGGGGGCAGGCAAUUACAAGGCUGAACCCAAACUUCAUUAGAAAUUACGCAUAUACCCAUUCCUAUGAAACUGUAGCUGUCUGUAAGGCAUUGAGAGAGACACCACGCCUAACAAAAAAUGGUCAGAUGUGCACAGCUGUGUUCAGCUAUACUGUCUUCUAGUAAAUGUCAUUCUUCUUGACUCUUCUUCCCUUAAAGCUCACUAUUUGGUCCCUGAUUGCCUGUAGGCUUUCUGCUACUGCGCUGAGCAGUUUUUAUUGGUAAUCUUUAUGUUUUUAGCAAGCUACCAUUAAAAAAAACUAUUUUGCCUGGCCUAAA
Molecule: long non-coding RNA, 2417 nt
Organism: Dromaius novaehollandiae (emu)
Lineage: Eukaryota; Metazoa; Chordata; Aves; Casuariiformes; Dromaiidae
Exons: 3
Source: RefSeq, a predicted model, not a curated record